UUUACAAAAAAAAAUUCCAUAUCUAGCCUCCUUUAUAAAUAUAUUCCCAAUCUAGCCUCAUUCUUAUAGAUUUGAUAGAUUAGGAAAAAAAAUAAUAAGUUAAUAAUUAAGUGAACGUAAUGUGAUUUUAUAUAUGAACACUUUUAAAUUAUAUUGACUUGUAUAAUCAAAUUAAGUACUAGUAGUACUAAUAAUAAAUUAUAAUUUAAAAAUAUUAUUAUUAAUAAAUAAAUUUUUUAUUAAGUGUUCAUAUAUAAAAUUAUAUUACAUACAUUUAAUUUAAAAAGAGAGAGAAAAAAAGAUAAUAUCCACCCACUUAACAUAUUAAUCUAUAUACAAAUUAUUAACUUAUUAUUUUUUUUCUUAAUCUAUAAAAAUGAGGCUAGAUUGAGAAUAUUUUUUAAAAAAAUAUUAGAUAGAAAAAAAAAAUUUUUGUAAAGAUGCUAGAUAAGUAAAUGAUCCGGAAACUAUAGAAGUAGUAUUUAAAGU
Molecule: long non-coding RNA, 489 nt
Filed under: Ananas comosus (pineapple)
Lineage: Eukaryota; Viridiplantae; Streptophyta; Magnoliopsida; Poales; Bromeliaceae
Description: long non-coding RNA (ACOM_LNC021458)
Source: RNAcentral